Molecule: unclassified non-coding RNA, 344 nt
Filed under: soil metagenome
Description: partial contains 5.8S ribosomal RNA, internal transcribed spacer 2, and large subunit ribosomal RNA
Rfam family: 5.8S ribosomal RNA (bases 1-120)
Source: RNAcentral
GAUGAAGAACGUAGCGAAAUGCGAUAAGUAAUGUGAAUUGCAGAAUUCAGUGAAUCAUCGAAUCUUUGAACGCACAUUGCGCCCGCCAGUAGUCUGGCGGGCAUGCCUGUUCGAGCGUCAUUUCCACCAUCAGGCCCCCGGGCCUGUGUUGGGGACCUGCGGCUGCCCGCAGGCCCCGAAAUUCAGUGGCGGUCGCGCCGUAGCAACCGAGCGUAGUAACUAAAACGUCUCGCUCUGGCUCGCUGGGCGCGCUCCGGCCGUAAAACACCCCCCCUUUUCGCAAAGGUUGACCUCGGAUCAGGUAGGAAUACCCGCUGAACUUAAGCAUAUCAAUAAGCGGAGGA